Long non-coding RNA from Fundulus heteroclitus (mummichog), 1060 nucleotides. RefSeq lists it as uncharacterized. The transcript has 3 exons. NCBI's taxonomy places the organism in Eukaryota, Metazoa, Chordata, Actinopteri, Cyprinodontiformes, Fundulidae. The record is from RefSeq and is a predicted model, not a curated record.
AACAUACAUAAAAUGGGGAUGCCUCUUUAAGAAAACAGACGUUAAGGGAGCUAGGUAGUCUAUCUAGCCAAUAGGAAGUUAAGUUUCCAGUGUCUAUCCACCAAUGAGAAUGCAGACUGCCCCUGUAGGUCCCGCCCUGCUUUCCCAUGUUUGCAGCAAUAUAGUGUGAGCGAGAGAGAUCGGACACGAGGACGAGACUGCUGAGCUGUGCAGCGUCAGAGUCUGUGUUAAGACUAUUAUAGUAUUACACACGAAUGAAAAGACGAAGCUUUUUGCAAUUGAAAUUGCUGUUUAUUAUCCAAGUUCUAAUCUGGAAUUAGUUGAGCUGAAGUGUCCCACCUGUCUGGACUCGGAGCCAUCAUAUUGUUGUCCCAAACUGAUGCAUUGAGAUCGGUCAGGUUUUUUUUUGUUACGCUGGAUCGUUCCUGAGGUGGAUUCCUCAAGAGACUGAUGGCGAGCCUUCCCACCUGGACUUAGAAAAGGAACUGGCUUCCUCCUUUUGCAUUUGGAGUUCUGCUGCACCCUGCGGUGUGGUAGGCCUGUGUCACUCGAAUCUUCACGCAGAGUUUGUUAUGCACGAGACUACUUACUGACUUUUUCCAUUUUUUUCGUUUCAUUCUGGGACUUUGGACAUAAAUUUUAUUUUGGACGUAGUAACAAACUACUGUGUAGGACACCCUCCUCACGUGACUGAUGUUGAGUCCAAUCUGAAUGUGAACUGAAUUUGAAUAAUCUGUGAUCUAUUAAAUUUCAGAAUUUAGAUUAACAGGGUGCACCCAAAAUAGAUAAAACCAGAGAAGUAGCACUUGGCCAAGUGUUCAUAUUAUUUUAUGUAUUUUAUUGUGUUGAAUUUAUUUUCAUAAUUUUUUGUCUUGUACAACUGUUUGUUAAUUUGAUGGUUUAUCUCACUAAAGCAGUCGUUCGUUAAAACCAUCCAACUGCCUCCGUUGUCAUUUAAACACCCUCACUGUGCUCCGAUAGCCGAACCUAUUGGCCCAUUUAUCUAAAAUACAUAGGACUCUUCUCUACUGUGUUACAUGAUGAACCUCUGUGUCUGUCG